Molecule: ribosomal RNA, 445 nt
Filed under: uncultured bacterium
Lineage: Bacteria
Description: partial 16S ribosomal RNA
Rfam family: Bacterial small subunit ribosomal RNA
Source: RNAcentral
GUGAGGAAUAUUGGUCAAUGGACGGAAGUCUGAACCAGCCAUGCCGCGUGGAGGAUGAAGGUCCUCUGGAUUGUAAACUUCUUUUAUAGGGGGCGAAAAAAGGGAAUUCUUUCUCGUCUGACGGUACCCUAUGAAUAAGCACCGGCUAACUCCGUGCCAGCAGCCGCGGUAAUACGGAGGGUGCAAGCGUUAUCCGGAUUCACUGGGUUUAAAGGGAGCGUAGGCGGGCAUGUAAGUCAGUGAUGAAAGCCCUCAGCUUAACUGAGGAACUGCCAUUGAUACUAUAUGUCUUGAAUGUCGUUGAGGUUUGCGGAAUAGGUCAUGUAGCGGUGAAAUGCUUAGAUAUGACCUAGAACACCUAUUGCGAAGGCAGCAGGCUAAACGAAUAUUGACGCUGAGGCUCGAAAGCGUGGGGAUCAAACAGGAUUAGAAACCCUGGUAGUCC